This 307-nucleotide ribosomal RNA is filed under the name Staphylococcus aureus. Its description in RNAcentral is "partial 23S ribosomal RNA". It matches the Rfam family "Bacterial large subunit ribosomal RNA", at positions 123 to 423 of the family's 2925-position model. Lineage: Bacteria; Bacillati; Bacillota; Bacilli; Caryophanales; Staphylococcaceae. The record is from RNAcentral.
GAAACCCAGCAUGAGUUAUGUCAUGUUAUCGAUAUGUGAAUACAUAGCAUAUCAGAAGGCACACCCGGAGAACUGAAACAUCUUAGUACCCGGAGGAAGAGAAAGAAAAUUCGAUUCCCUUAGUAGCGGCGAGCGAAACGGGAAGAGCCCAAACCAACAAGCUUGCUUGUUGGGGUUGUAGGACACUCUAUACGGAGUUACAAAGGACGACAUUAGACGAAUCAUCUGGAAAGAUGAAUCAAAGAAGGUAAUAAUCCUGUAGUCGAAAAUGUUGUCUCUCUUGAGUGGAUCCUGAGUACGACGGAGC